Long non-coding RNA from Trachemys scripta elegans, 612 nucleotides. RefSeq lists it as uncharacterized. The transcript has 3 exons. Lineage: Eukaryota; Metazoa; Chordata; Testudines; Emydidae. The record is from RefSeq and is a predicted model, not a curated record.
CCCUGGAGAAAGGAAUCUUCUGUCAUUCAUCAACACAAUUAUUUUUAAAUCAUUUAUCACACAUUUGACUACAGCCUGAGCAGAACGAUGAAGGCUCAGUGGUGUCAUGCUGGAUCCUGAGGUCCCAGGCAAUAGUGAGGGUGGCAGCAGUCAUGGUGGUCCUGUAUAAGUGGCAGAAGCUGCCACUAGGAGUUUCCUCCUGCUUCCCCAUGUCCUGCACUAAGAUCAAAAGUGGCAGGAGUGGCCACCUGGAGUCACCACCUCCUCCUCCUUUUCUGCUCUGAAGUCCAUGAAGGCCUGCAGCACUAAUCACAGUGGGAGGGCAGCCGAGAGAAGUAUGAACAUGAAGGUGACAGUGAAGGCAGUAGUGCAAGGAGUGAGAGCCACAGAAAUAAAAUAGAGAAGGCAAUGCUGAACAGGCAAUGCAGCCAGACAUAUGAAUUUCCAUGUUCUAAAUAUGAGUCCAACAAUCACAGUGUGUGUUGUGUUACCACAUUUAGGCAAAUGAUAGCAUGAGACCAUGGAAUCUGAAGAGACGACUAACCUAAGCUGCUGGCUUAGUGCAAAGCCAAAAGGUACUGGGGUUGAAGAGGGCAGCCCACAGGUAGGCAG